UCAUUCGAUUUGGAUCCAUCAACCUAAAAUACGUAAAUUAAAAUUAAAAUCCCAAAGUCACCGUAAGUUGAAGAAGAAAAUAAGGAAAAAUGGCACCGAAAACUGCACGAGCAAGAACUACAAAAGCCAAAUCUACAGACAUUCCAUCGCUGGACUAUCACAAAGUUCGUAAGGCCAUGAAACGGCACAAUACCAAGAAAAUGGAUAAGGAAACGGUCAAAAAGAUUGCCCAUGAGCUCGAUUUCCCUUUGAAAGACCUCAGCCACGAACGUCAUCUCCGUGGCAAAAUGCUCGCUUCAAUUAGAACAUGGGACAAAGAAUAAAUCGACUUUUCCCAUCAAUCAAAACUAUGACCAGGCCAUGGACACGAAUAAACCAAACGCAAAUUUAAACCAAAUACAAAAAAAAAAAUUCAAACUGAAUUGAAUCAAAAGUGUGAGAUCGAAAAAUAAAUAGAAAAACCAUAGUUGUAAGCUUUGUAGCGAGCAUGUUACUUCAAAAUUAAAAUAAAAAUUGCUUAAAUCUAGCUGAAGACUUGAGAAGAAUUUCA
Long non-coding RNA from Sitodiplosis mosellana (orange wheat blossom midge), 550 nucleotides. RefSeq lists it as uncharacterized. The transcript is spliced from 2 exons. The record is from RefSeq and is a predicted model, not a curated record. NCBI's taxonomy places the organism in Eukaryota, Metazoa, Arthropoda, Insecta, Diptera, Cecidomyiidae.